AUUGAACGCUGGCGGCAUGCCUUACACAUGCAAGUCGAACGGCAGCACGGGAGCAAUCCUGGUGGCGAGUGGCGAACGGGUGAGUAAUAUAUCGGAACGUGCCCGGUCGUGGGGAUAACGUAGCCGAAAGCUACGCUAAUACCGCAUACGAUCUACGGAUGAAAGCGGGGGGAUCGCAAGACCUCGCGCGAUUGGAGCGGCCGAUAUCAGAUUAGGUAGUUGGUGGGGUAAAGGCUCACCAAGCCGACGAUCUGUAGCUGGUCUGAGAGGACGACCAGCCACACUGGGACUGAGACACGGCCCAGACUCCACGGGAGCAGCAGUGGGAAUUUGGACAAUGGGCGCAAGCCUGAUCCAGCAAUGCCGCGUGCAGGAUGAA
RNAcentral lists this ribosomal RNA (379 nucleotides) under uncultured bacterium. RNAcentral describes it as "bacterial SSU rRNA". It matches the Rfam family "Bacterial small subunit ribosomal RNA", at positions 29 to 412 of the family's 1533-position model. The record is from RNAcentral.